This is a long non-coding RNA of Megalobrama amblycephala (Wuchang bream), 1754 nucleotides long. RefSeq lists it as uncharacterized. The transcript is spliced from 4 exons. Lineage: Eukaryota; Metazoa; Chordata; Actinopteri; Cypriniformes; Xenocyprididae. The record is from RefSeq and is a predicted model, not a curated record.
AUAUUUCUGUCAAUUUCUUCGCGUUAAAAACCGGACUUUUAUUUUGACGGGAUGUAGUGAAGAGCUUUGAGUUUCAGUGUAUUUGACAAUGUUUUUUCUCAAAUAAAAUGAUGAAAUGCACAUUAAGCGCUAUCUCAGAUCAACCUUUGAUAUGUUUGUGUUCAUGUCCUCAGAUAACGAGACGGCAAACACUGAAAAAACAAUAAGAGCGUCGCCCAUACUCAAGUAUGUAGUACACAAAAAAGCGCAGCUCAUUCACACCGGCUGACACGCAAAACAGAUAUUUUUAUACAGCAGUCUUUUUUGCGCUUUAAUAUUCAAAGACCCCGCCUAGACCAUGUCGCGAUUUGAUUUAUUGUACAGCUCUGCUUUCAUUUUAUUCAUCAGUCCAUCAAAUCGCGCGUUUUUACCUGACAUCGCUGCAUUAUACUGUACAUUUCCUUUUUCAUGACUGGAUUCUGGGAGCUCUCCAUCACGCACAUCACACGACCUAAGUUAUAAACGGAACAUACCCGCAUCUACACGGAUGGUGUUCUCGAAUAUAGUUCGAUGUGUUUCCUCCUUUUGCAGGUAGGCCUACUUUGCGUCCGCAUUUUUUUGGCAAACUGGAUAUCUACACUCGAGGACAAUCCCGCGUUUGUUUUCCCAUACUGCAAAUUGUAACUUAUUUUUCAACGAGGGAUAGAGAUUAGAGAUAGCAACUUCUGACAUUGUCUCUGCUGUAUGUGUGUGGGAGGAGCAGGUUUAGAGUGUAGUGAAGUGGAAAGUUGCUGUCUAUGCGCAAGUGAGAUUCCGCGUCUUAUUUUUUUCAAUACCGUACGUACGUGUUCAUACCGUGAUACCAUACCGUCACACCGGUAUAUCGUUACAACCCUAAUGUGAAAUAUCUCACAUGCAACUUGACCUUCUUCAGAGAGCCCACAUUUUAACCAGAAGGCCUGCAGACAAGGGAAGGAUGUGCCCUGGACUUGAACUCCGGCAGGAUUUUUUUCCCCUUCCAAAGCCUGUGGCACCUGUACCAACCGCAGUACCAUCUGCUUGGCAUUCAGCGUCCAAUAACACAUUUCUGGGAUAAACUCCGACACACACACGCGCGCACACAGAGGUCGGUGGGCGGUGGAAAGGUUGUGGGCCGACUGCUGGAUUGGAAUGACAGAGGAUUGGCCUGGAAACUUCAUUCCUCGAGACUUGACUGAAUGAGCGACGGUCUGUCAGAUGUGACCGGGAAGGUUUCGGUGCAGGUGUGUGAAAUAAUGGACUCCAGUGACACAUCAGACCUCUUAAAGAGACGCUUCUGCAGGUUUUCAUUAGGCCCGUGUGUGUGAUCCACCAAUACGACCAUAUUAAAUACUUGUUAUGAAAGCCACAGUGAUGCAUUUAAAACUCAGAUGACUUUAAUUAAUGAAUUAAACUGAUGAUGGAUCAAUACUGCGAGCUACAGACUCUGAUCACAGUGAUAUUUAUCAUCAGUUUCUUUUAAAAAUGAACCCACCUUUUAACCUUAUCAACUCGGAGCCACAUUGACAAACAUUAAACAUUACAGAUGAAUAUGCAUUGUGUCUGAAGUGCAAUCAUUGGGAAUAAACUCUCCAUUCUUCUCCUCUCAUGCAAAACAGUCUGUUGCAGCACUACAGGUGUUUGGGAAAGUGCGGCAGUGUUUUUUUUUUUUUGUUGGCAUGAAGCGUUUGAGGAGAAAAUAUCAGCCAAGGGCUCCAUUGUUUCAGUCAGCUAAAGUCAUAUUAGCAAACACAUUU